RNAcentral lists this long non-coding RNA (536 nucleotides) under Ananas comosus (pineapple). RNAcentral's name for it is "long non-coding RNA (ACOM_LNC023545)". Lineage: Eukaryota; Viridiplantae; Streptophyta; Magnoliopsida; Poales; Bromeliaceae. The record is from RNAcentral.
AAUAUAUAACAUAUAAUUUAGGCUAAAUUACAUAAACCCCCCUCUCCCGUCAAAACCCGAUUUUUUACUUUUCCUCCCUAUCAUUUAAAAACAUACACUUUGCCCUCUUGUAAAAUGAAAAAUGUUCACAGGGGGGGUAUGGUGUGUACUGUGAUGAUAAAAUGACCAUUUUGCCCCUCACCAUUUUCGUCUCCUCUCUCAUCUUCCUCAACAGCAGCCUCGAUCAGCCGCGGCUUACGCCUUAAUCAGCUGCGAUUUCUCUUCAUUUUCUUCUCCACCUACUCCCCUCUCCUCCUGCACCCUCGCCACCCCUCGAUUUCGGCGAGGUGGAAAUCGAGGUGGGGGUGGAUGGAGAGGUGGGUAACAGCAACGAGGGCGAAGGCGAGGCGGUGGAGGAAGGCGAAGGGGUGUUUGUGGGCGCGGACGGGGAUUUGGGCGAGGGCAAGGCAGUGGAAGAGGGCGAGGCGGCGAGGCGGCGAAGCAACAGGAAAGAGACGGAGGGGUAUUUUUGGUAUAAAAAAAUAUUUUAUAACGGA